GAUGAAGAACGCAGCGAAAUGCGAUAAGUAAUGUGAAUUGCAGAAUUCAGUGAAUCAUCGAAUCUUUGAACGCACAUUGCGCCCGCCAGUAUUCUGCGGGCAUGCCUGUUCGAGCGUCAUUUCAACCCUCAAGCCCCCGGGCUUGGUGUUGGGGAUCGGCGUGCCCUCGCGGCGCGCCGUCCCCUAAAUCUAGUGGCGGUCUCGCUGUAGCUUCCUCUGCGUAGUAGCAACACUCGCACUGGAUCGCAGCGCGGCCACGCCGUUAAACCCCCCACUUCUGAAAGGUUGACCUCGGAUCAGGUAGGAAUACCCGCUGAACUUAAGCAUAUCAAUAAGCGGAGGA
This 343-nucleotide unclassified non-coding RNA is filed under the name soil metagenome. Its description in RNAcentral is "partial contains 5.8S ribosomal RNA, internal transcribed spacer 2, and large subunit ribosomal RNA". The stretch from base 1 to 119 matches the Rfam family "5.8S ribosomal RNA", at positions 35 to 154 of the family's 154-position model. The record is from RNAcentral.